AGAGUUUGAUCCUGGCUCAGAUUGAACGCUGGCGGCAUGCUUUACACAUGCAAGUCGGACGGCAGCACAGAGAAGCUUGCUUCUUGGGUGGCGAGUGGCGAACGGGUGAGUAACAUAUCGGAACGUACCGAGUAAUGGGGGAUAACUAAUCGAAAGAUUAGCUAAUACCGCAUAUUCUCUGAGGAGGAAAGCAGGGGACCUUCGGGCCUUGCGUUAUUCGAGCGGCCGAUAUCUGAUUAGCUAGUUGGUGGGGUAAAGGCCUACCAAGGCGACGAUCAGUAGCGGGUCUGAGAGGAUGAUCCGCCACACUGGGACUGAGACACGGCCCAGACUCCUACGGGAGGCAGCAGUGGGGAAUUUUGGACAAUGGGCGCAAGCCUGAUCCAGCCAUGCCGCGUGUCUGAAGAAGGCCUUCGGGUUGUAAAGGACUUUUGUCAGGGAAGAAAAGGCUGUCGCUAAUACCGACAGUUGAUGACGGUACCUGAAGAAUAAGCACCGGCUAACUACGUGCCAGCAGCCGCGGUAAUACGUAGGGUGCGAGCGUUAAUCGGAAUUACUGGGCGUAAAGCGAGCGCAGACGGUUACUUAAGCAGGAUGUGAAAUCCCCGGGCUUAACCUGGGAACUGCGUUCUGAACUGGGUGACUAGAGUGUGUCAGAGGGAGGUAGAAUUCCACGUGUAGCAGUGAAAUGCGUAGAGAUGUGGAGGAAUACCGAUGGCGAAGGCAGCCUCCUGGGAUGACACUGACGUUCAUGCUCGAAAGCGUGGGUAGCAAACAGGAUUAGAUACCCUGGUAGUCCACGCCCUAAA
Molecule: ribosomal RNA, 809 nt
Filed under: uncultured bacterium
Lineage: Bacteria
Description: bacterial SSU rRNA
Rfam family: Bacterial small subunit ribosomal RNA
Source: RNAcentral